UUUCAAAUGCAGAUUGACGAAGAUGAGAUUUACUGGAGACAUCGAAAGGAAGAUGGAGUUGGAAUGCUCCCGUAAUUCCACUCGCUUAAUAUCUCACUUAGCUCAAUGUUUUAGUGAGUACAUUUUUCUCUUCAAGGUUCUUUGCAUUCUUGUAAGUUUCAUCUUUUUUUCAAACCUAGAAUCACUUACAAACCUCUCAACCAC
This 204-nucleotide long non-coding RNA is filed under the name Lupinus angustifolius (narrow-leaved blue lupine). Its description in RNAcentral is "long non-coding RNA (LANG_LNC001566)". The record is from RNAcentral. Lineage: Eukaryota; Viridiplantae; Streptophyta; Magnoliopsida; Fabales; Fabaceae.